This 1948-nucleotide unclassified non-coding RNA is filed under the name Leishmania donovani. Its description in RNAcentral is "gene:LdHU3.23.2250(CDS-product:palmitoyl_acyltran sferase_12_putative)". Lineage: Eukaryota; Euglenozoa; Kinetoplastea; Trypanosomatida; Trypanosomatidae. The record is from RNAcentral.
CGUCUUUCGGCGUGCUUGUGCGACUGCGAACCGCCGUUGCUGUUUUCUCGUGUUGUUGCUGCUUCGCUUAGCCUCGUUGGCCUGCGCAUCACCGCACUGCUCUCGGUUUGGCGCGCCUCCGUGUGCAGGCGCCUUUCUCUUCCUCUGGGUGUGGCUCUGACCGCCACGUCGUGGUUCUUGACGAAGGCCGCAGACACACUCGCGGAAAACUCCAUCUCUUUGUUCCUCACCUUCCUCUGCUCCAUCCACAGAACAACCCACCCGCGACCCUGCACCUUGCAGUACCCGUACAGCUACCUUCUGCUCCCCUCUUGUAUCUUCGUCACUUGUGUGCACGACUACUCGCUGCGGACUCGCCACUUGCUCUGCGCUCUGUUUUCUGAGGGGCAUCUGCUUGUGGUGCUGCUGCUGCUGCUGUCGCCCACUCGUUGAUUUUGAAAAACGGUUUUGUAAUGUGCGAGGGUAGUAUACACACAGUGAGGCCUCGCACCUGCAGCGGGUGGUGCGCGCUGGCAUGCAGUUACAUCCCGUGCGUGGUUGCCAUAGCUCUCAUCGCGGCCAACAUUAUUCCAUACCACCUCUGCUUCCUCAGAAGGCUUCGCGCCGCGUGCGAGAUCGGCAAUGCGUCCUUUGUGUACUACUACUACUGUGUUGUGGUGAUGGUUUUUGCCGAGGUGAUGGUGUACGGCAACUUCUUGCUGGCCAUCUUCACCUGCCCUGGUUUCGUGCCGCACGAGCCGUGGUCGGAGGCCCCGGUGUACCAGGGCCGGUCUGUCAGUGACAACCCGUACGAGGUGUUCGAACUUGACCGGGUCGGUAGGCUUCGCUACUGCAGUUUCUGCAAGCAGUUCAAGCCGGACCAGGCUCAUCACUGCCACACAUGCCACUGCUGCGUCUACCGCAUGGAUCACCACUGCCCAUGGAUCAACAACUGCGUCGGCCGUGGGAACAGCAAGUUCUUUCUGCUGUUUGUUGGCUACAUCCCUGUCGGCGCCUUUCACAUUGUGCUUACGUCGCUCUUCAGCUGCGUCUUCCACUUCCCGAAGUUUUUCGAUAUGGCGCUGCAGGACGACAGCGUCUUGCAAAGUAUGGUCAUCAUCUUAUCGAUUAUCUUCUCCACCGUCAUGGGCAUCUGCUUCCUGGCGUUCGCACUGCACUUCGCAUGCAUGGCGUACCGUGGCCAGACCUCCGUGUCGCGUAUGAUCGCCUCUAAGAAGCAUCCCGACGAGCUAGAGCAAGCUCGCAAGCGCCAGGCCGAAGAUCGAGCCUUCUACAUGUUUGACCUCUUCGGUAGCGAUCAGCGGUGGCACCGGAUGAUACUCCCCUUCAAGCCUGACCACGACAUCCGUCGCGCGCCACACGGCUACGCGCGUCGAUUCGGCGGCUCCGCAGAUGUGUUCUUCAUGAGCCCCGUGUAGUCGGCAAGCGUGAUUGGGGGGGGGGAGGAGGGCACAGACACGCGCAGCUGUCGUGUGCGCGACAGGUCUCUCUGUGCAUCCUGCCGCUGUUGGCACUUUGGUGUAGAGGGUGGUGGAGGCGCGCUACUACGGACACACAUGUGUGCUUGCUUGUGGCGCACGUGGCUGCGCGAGAGCCGCGCUUCGCUUCGCCGCCACCUCUCGCGUUUUCAUGGACGACCCUCUCACACCUUGUUGGAGGAGGAUGCGGUUGCCUCUUGUCGCGCGGCACCGCUUCGCCUCCAAGUCAUCAACAACCCUCUCUUCGCUAUUCUUGUUGCUUCGCGCGUGCACACAGGCGGUGAUGAUGGCUCUGACACCCGUGCAGUGCGUGUGGUCGUGGGCGUAUUCGCCCUCAAUCCUGCUGCCCCUCCUUUCUUGUUUGUGAGCACCCCCCCUCUCUGGUUCUGAGAGACGGGCGUAACCCGUAUAUGUGGCGGAGGUGGGGAAGGGCUCUGCGUGAACCUGUAUGAUGAUGCCGUAGUAGCUUC